CCUACGGGAGGCAGCAGUAAGGAAUAUUGGUCAAUGGAGGCAACUCUGAACCAGCCAUGCCGCGUGCAGGAAGACAGCCCUAUGGGUCGUAAACUGCUUUUAUACGGGAAUAAACUUUGAUUCGUGAAUCAAGCUGAAUGUACCGUAAGAAUAAGGAUCGGCUAACUCCGUGCCAGCAGCCGCGGUAAUACGGAGGAUCCAAGCGUUAUCCGGAUUUAUUGGGUUUAAAGGGAGCGUAGGCGGCCUAUUAAGUCAGGGGUGAAAGACGGUGGCUCAACCAUCGCAGUGCCUUUGAUACUGAUGGGCUUGAAUAUAGUUGAGGUAGGCGGAAUGUGACAAGUAGCGGUGAAAUGCAUAGAUAUGUCACAGAACACCGAUUGCGAAGGCAGCUUACUAAGCUAUGAUUGACGCUGAGGCUCGAAAGCGUGGGGAUCAAACAGGAUUAGAUACCCUGGUAGUCCACGCCCUAAACGAUGAUAACUCGAUGUUGGCGAUAUACAGUCAGCGUCCAAGCGAAAGCGUUAAGUUAUCCACCUGGGGAGUACGCCCGCAAGGGUGAAACGUUAAAUGAAUUGACGG
Molecule: ribosomal RNA, 579 nt
Filed under: uncultured bacterium
Lineage: Bacteria
Description: bacterial SSU rRNA
Rfam family: Bacterial small subunit ribosomal RNA
Source: RNAcentral